AUCGCUUCUCAGCCUUUUGGCUAAGAUCAAGUGUAGUAUCUGUUCUUAUCAGUUCAAUAAAUAUGAAUCAUCAUCAUUAUCAUCAUCAUCAUCACCAUCAUCACCAUCUAGGAGAGUAUUGCUAAAGAAAUGCAGUGUAUCCACGUGCAUAACAUUUUAAUAAGUAGGGGGCAAAACUUU
RNAcentral lists this small nuclear RNA (180 nucleotides) under Suricata suricatta (meerkat). RNAcentral's name for it is "U2 spliceosomal RNA (ENSSSUG00005002631.1)". It matches the Rfam family "U2 spliceosomal RNA". From Rfam's summary of the family: U2 is a small nuclear RNA (snRNA) component of the spliceosome (involved in pre-mRNA splicing). Complementary binding between U2 snRNA (in an area lying towards the 5' end but 3' to hairpin I) and the branchpoint sequence (BPS) of the intron results the bulging out of an unpaired adenosine, on the BPS, which initiates a nucleophilic attack at the intronic 5' splice site, thus starting the first of two transesterification reactions that mediate splicing. Lineage: Eukaryota; Metazoa; Chordata; Mammalia; Carnivora; Herpestidae. The record is from Rfam by way of RNAcentral.